RNAcentral lists this ribosomal RNA (459 nucleotides) under uncultured bacterium. RNAcentral's name for it is "partial 16S ribosomal RNA". It matches the Rfam family "Bacterial small subunit ribosomal RNA", at positions 338 to 795 of the family's 1533-position model. The record is from RNAcentral.
CCUACGGGUGGCAGCAGUGAGGAAUAUUGGUCAAUGGGCGCGAGCCUGAACCAGCCAAGUCGCGUGAGGGAAGACGGUCCUAUGGAUUGUAAACCUCUUUUGUCGGGGAGCAAAAGACGCCACGCGUGGCGUUCCGAGAGUACCCGAAGAAAAAGCAUCGGCAAACUCCGUGCCAGCAGCCGCGGUAAUACGGGGGAUGCGAGCGUUAUCCGGAUUUAUUGGGUUAAAAGGGGGCGCAGGCGGAAGAUCAAGUCAGCGGUAAAAGUGAGAGGCUCAACCUCUUCGAGCCGUUGAAACUGGUUUUCUUGAGUGAGCGAGAAGGAUGCGGAAUGCGUGGUGUAGCGGUGAAAUGCAUAGAUAGCGCGCAGAACUCCGAUUGCGAAGGCAGGAUACCGGCGCUCAACUGACGCUCAUGCACGAAAGUGAGGGUAGCGAACGGGAUUAGAUACCCGAGUAGUC